AUUGAACGCUGGCGGCAGGCCUAACACAUGCAAGUCGGGCGGAGCGGCGGACGGGUGAGUAAUGUAUGGGGAACUGCCUGAUGGCGGGGGCUAACUACUGGAAACGGUAGCUAAUACAGCAUACCAUCAGAUGAACCCAGUGGGGAUUAGCUAGUAGGUGAGGUAACGGCUUACCGAGGCGACGAUCCCUAGCUGGUCUGAGAGGAUGAUCAGUCACACUGGAACUGAGACACGGUCCAGACUCCGACGGGAGGAAGCAGUGGGGAAGAUGGGACAAUGGGCGAAAGCCUGAUCCAGCCAUGCCGCGUGUGUGAAGAAGGUCUUCGGAUUGUAAAGCACUUUCAGUUGGGAGGCGUUACCAACAGAAUAAGCACCGGCUAACUUCGUGCCAGCAGCCGCGGUAAUAC
RNAcentral lists this ribosomal RNA (407 nucleotides) under uncultured bacterium. RNAcentral's name for it is "partial 16S ribosomal RNA". It matches the Rfam family "Bacterial small subunit ribosomal RNA", at positions 30 to 526 of the family's 1533-position model. The record is from RNAcentral.